RNAcentral lists this long non-coding RNA (236 nucleotides) under Brassica napus (rape). RNAcentral describes it as "long non-coding RNA (BNAP_LNC006975)". The record is from RNAcentral. Lineage: Eukaryota; Viridiplantae; Streptophyta; Magnoliopsida; Brassicales; Brassicaceae.
AAAAUAGAGAUCUCUAUUAUAGAGAAAGAAAUAGAAGUGGGUUGGAGCAAUUUCACCACGCGUUCGGUUUUUCUUAACUAGCUAAAUCAAUACCUUUUUGAUAGAUUUAAUUAUCCAUUUAUACUAUGCUUCUCAAUUAAAUCUUCAUUUUUUAAAAAAUUUGCUUGGUUUACACUUCACAUGUCUUAUUUGCUCAGUUCUUUUUAGGUUAGAACUUAGAUGGCAAAAGUGGUAGU